GGCCAGUAACUGACGCUGAGGUGCGAAAGCUGGGGGAGCGAACCGGAUUAGAUACCCGGGUAGUCCCAGCCGUAAACGCUGAAUGCUAGGUGUUCGCAGUGCGAGCUGUGAGUGCCGCAGUUAACGCGAUAAGGCAUUCCGCCUGGGGAGUACGACCGCAAGGUUGAAACUCAAAAGAAUUGACGGGGGCCCGCACAAGCGGUGGAGCACGUGGUUUAAUUCGAUGCAAACCGAAGAACCUUACCUGGGUUUGACAUGUACGUGUUACGGAUCUGAAAGGUGAAGGACCCUUGCUUCGGUAAGGGAGCGUACACAGGUGCUGCAUGGCUGUCGUCAGCUCGUGUCGUGAGAUGUUGGGUUAAGUCCCGCAACGAGCGCAACCCCUACGCUGAGUUACCAGCAUUUCGGAUGGGGACUCUCAGUGGACUGCCAGCGACAAGCUGGAGGAAGGUGGGGACGACGUCAAGUCAUCAUGGCCCUUAUGUCCAGGGCUACACACGUGCUACAAUGGCCGGCACAACGAGAAGCGACCCCGCGAGGGCAAGCGGAUCUCCCAAAGCCGGUCCCAGUUCGGAUUGCAGUCUGCAACUCGAGUGCAUGAAGCUGGAAUCGCUAGUAAUCGUGGAUCAGCCAAGCCGCGGUGAAUGCGUUCCCGGGCCUUGUACACACCGCCCGUCACACCAUCCGAGUUGGGUGCACCCGAAGCCAGUGGCCUAACCCGCCAGCCGGCGGGGAGGAGCUGUCGAAGGUGUGUCUGGUAAGGAGGGUGAA
RNAcentral lists this ribosomal RNA (771 nucleotides) under uncultured organism. RNAcentral's name for it is "bacterial SSU rRNA". It matches the Rfam family "Bacterial small subunit ribosomal RNA", at positions 731 to 1484 of the family's 1533-position model. The record is from RNAcentral.